This 253-nucleotide ribosomal RNA is filed under the name uncultured bacterium. RNAcentral's name for it is "partial 16S ribosomal RNA". It matches the Rfam family "Bacterial small subunit ribosomal RNA", at positions 524 to 776 of the family's 1533-position model. The record is from RNAcentral.
UACGUAGGGGGCAAGCGUUGUCCGGAUUUAUUGGGCGUAAAGCGCUCGCAGGUGGUUCGUCGCGUCGUGCGUGAAAGACCCCGGCUCAACUGGGGAGGGUCGUGCGAUACGGGCGGACUGGAGGCCAGUAGGGGGAUGCGGAAUUCCGGGUGUAGCGGUGAAAUGCGUAGAUAUCUGGAGGAACACCGGUGGCGAAGGCGGCAUUCUGGACCGAUAUUGACGCUGAGGAGCGAAAGCCAGGGGAGCAAACGGG